CUCCUUCGCUUUGAGAUGGCCAACUAUUGUGUGUUUAUGAAGAGAAGUGCCUAAUCUCAAGACCAAAGGUGCUACGAGGUGAUAUUUGUGUCGUGAAACUUAUAAGAAGCAGUACAUUACCAUGCCUACAGGAAGAAGUACAACUGAUGGUCACUGGAUUUCUGAAUACACUAUUUUUCUCUGUAUUUAGUAUGUAGUCAGGUGGAUAUGACUACGUUGAGUCAGAUGAAAGACAACGACCUCAAAGAUACUAUAUAAGCACAUGGUUAAUGGGAUGUUUAAUGAUUUCUGUUCCAUUCCUGGCUUUUAUUACCUCUUAUGGUCAGUGGGAUGGUUAGUGCUUAUAUUGUUUUAUUAUUACACUCUACUGGUUGCUGUGAUUUUGGAUGUGAGGUAGUAUGACUUAUGAAUAUGAUAUGAUCAUGGUCUAUGUUUUUCUCUCUGUGCAAAGAGCCUUCCUCUCUUGGUGCAUUGUUAGGUGAUCAAUUUACCAAGAAAAGGAAGUCAAGAUAGCAUAUCCGAUGGCAAUGUUCCAUGCAAUUGUUUUUGACAACUUCUGGCUGGCUGCUCAAUCUGUUAUGUGGUACCAACCACCUAGUUACGUGCUCAGUAAUUGUGUUUCAGUAGUUUAGCACCACAAGCUGCAAAGUAUUGGUUGCUAUCAAUUUGAUAGUUUUUAGCCUAUAGUUGUUGCCUUCAUGAGUAAUGCAGUCAACUGAAUAUCACUGAUGACUGCUCUAAUUUCUGUCUCAAUUAGUUGCCCCUAGGUAGUAGAAUUACUUCGAAAGUAUAGUCAGUAGCUUACGUUCUGAUGUCCCAAAAAACACCAUCCUCGUUCGUCGGCACACAGGAAGUUGCAGGUGUGUACACAAUGUGCUUGCGUAAAUGUCAAUGGGCAAUAGUGUGCAUUUGUUAGUUUUUUACAAGUAUUGGUUGAGGAGAGUGAAAUAUAUGCAGAUUUAAUGUCAUUGAGUUCUUAGUUUCUUUUUACAUAUCUCAGGCUAGCCUACUUCUGUAGUAUCCUGAUGGUUCAGUUUCUGCCUCACCACUUGACCUCCUGUAUAUUGAUUUUCAGGAUAAGCUGAUGGAUGUUGGAUUUGGGCAGACAUUAGAUGAAAUUAGAUAAGUUGUCGAUCCAUAUUUGGUUAACAGAGACCAUAUGGGGCCAAAUAAUUCAGAUUCGUUCUCUUCCUCUUUCAGAUGUUGGUGGCAUUUUUUCACUGCGUCUAUCUUCCACGGAAACAACAGGAUUUCAGUCACGACUUUUACCGACACGGCUUGCUGCACGCUAGGACCUAAAGUUACCCUUGAUUUUCUGGCUUCAUCAGAGAAAGUUCUUGGAAGGCAGUUGUCGCAUAAAGCUCAGGCGGAUGUGGUGGCCAAGAAGAAGAAUGCCUAAAUAAAAAGCAGGUAUAAUAUCUAAAAUGAGUUCCAUAAAUUUUCUUGCGUCUGGCCUUGCAUACUCUUGCAGUUUUAAAUAGGUUUCUGUUUCUCAUAGGAAGUACAUGUUAAUUCUAUGCUCUCUACUGUAUAUUAGGUUUCAGUUAUGAUUUAUGACUGGUUGAUUUAUGGUUGCC
Non-coding RNA from Lolium perenne, 1577 nucleotides. Lineage: Eukaryota; Viridiplantae; Streptophyta; Magnoliopsida; Poales; Poaceae. The record is from RefSeq and is a predicted model, not a curated record.